GCCCGGAUGGUGGAAUCGGUAGACACAAGGGAUUUAAAAUCCCUCGGCGUUAGCGCUGUGCGGGUUCAAGUCCCGCUCCGGGUACCA
Molecule: transfer RNA, 87 nt
Filed under: Escherichia coli
Lineage: Bacteria; Pseudomonadati; Pseudomonadota; Gammaproteobacteria; Enterobacterales; Enterobacteriaceae
Also listed under: 14 other names
Description: tRNA-Leu
Rfam family: tRNA
About the family: Transfer RNA (tRNA) molecules are approximately 80 nucleotides in length. Their secondary structure includes four short double-helical elements and three loops (D, anti-codon, and T loops).
Source: RNAcentral